Molecule: ribosomal RNA, 463 nt
Filed under: uncultured bacterium
Lineage: Bacteria
Description: partial 16S ribosomal RNA
Rfam family: Bacterial small subunit ribosomal RNA
Source: RNAcentral
GACGAACGCUGGCGGCGGGCUUAACACAUGCAAGUCGAACGGCGAACCUCUUCGGAGGGGCUCAGUGGCGAACGGGGGAGUAACACGGGGGGAACCAGCCCGCGGCUCUGUGAUAACUCCAAGAAAUUGGGGCUAAUAUCGGAUGAUCACCGCUUCCCGCAUGGGGGGUGGUGCAAAGGGUUUGCGGCUGGGGCUGGGCCCCCGGCCUAGCAGCUGGUUGGGCGGGUAGGGGGGGACGAAGGCGACGACGGGUAGCCGGCCUGGGAGGGUGGCCGGGCACCCGGCGCCUGCGGCAGGGCCCAGAGUCCAACGGGGGGCAGUAGUGGGGAAUCUUGCCCAGUGGGCGGACGCCUGACGCAGCGACCCCCCGUGGGUGAUGCCGGCUUUCGGGUUGUAAACCUCUUUCGGCAAGGACGAAGCGCAAGUGACGGUACCUGCAGAAGAAGCACCGGCCAACUUCGUG